Long non-coding RNA from Pseudomyrmex gracilis, 207 nucleotides. RefSeq lists it as uncharacterized. The transcript has 3 exons. The record is from RefSeq and is a predicted model, not a curated record. NCBI's taxonomy places the organism in Eukaryota, Metazoa, Arthropoda, Insecta, Hymenoptera, Formicidae.
GGAAAACAGUGUUUGAGUGAAAACAGAAGAAUCUUAGCUAGUAAGAUGAAAUUUCUUGUUGUUUUUGCUUGCGUGAUAAUACUUGUUUCUUCAGGUGAGAUAAAAGAACAAGUAAAAAAUGUAAUAUCACAAACUAAGGCCGAACAAUCAUUUGAAACGUGUAUGAACGAGAAAAAUAUGACUAGGAGUGACUGGUUCUCAGAGGAC